This 513-nucleotide ribosomal RNA is filed under the name uncultured bacterium. RNAcentral describes it as "partial 16S ribosomal RNA". It matches the Rfam family "Bacterial small subunit ribosomal RNA", at positions 28 to 523 of the family's 1533-position model. The record is from RNAcentral.
GACGAACGCUGGCGGCAUGCCUAAUACAUGCAAGUCGAGCGAACAGAUGAAGUGCUUGCGCUUCUGACGUUAGCGGCGAACGGGUGAGUAACACGUAAGGAAUCUACCUAUAAGCGGGGGAUAACAUUCGGAAACGGGUGCUAAUACCGCAUAAUAUCUUCUUCCGCAUGGAAGAAGAUUGAAAGACGGCUCUGCUGUCAAUUAUCGAUGACCUUGCGGUGCAUUAGUUAGUUGGUGGGGUAAUGGCCUACCAAGACGAUGAUGCAUAGCCGACCUGAGAGGGUGAUCGGCCACAUUGGGACUGAGACACGGCCCAAACUCCUACGGGAGGCAGCAGUAGGGAAUCUUCCGCAAUGGGCGAAAGCCUGACGGAGCAAUGCCGCGUGAGUGAAGAAGGCCUUCGGGUCGUAAAACUCUGUUAUAAGAGAAGAACAAAUUGUAGAGUAACUGCUACAGUCUUGACGGUAUCUUAUCAGAAAGCCACGGCUAACUACGUGCCAGCCGCCGCCGUAA